GACGAACGCUGGCGGCGUGCCUAACACAUGCAAGUUGAGCGACGAACCAGGGCUUGCCCUGGGGCAAAGCAGCGAACGGGUGAGUAACACGUGGGUAACCUACCCCGAUAACCGGGACAACCCGAGGAAACUCGGGCUAAUACCGGAUGUGCUCACUGGACUUCGGUUCAGUGCGUAAAGGAAGCUUCGGCCUCCGUAUCGGGAGGGGCCCGCGGCCCAUUAGUUUGUUGGUGAGGUAACGGCUCACCAAGACCGCGAUGGGUAGCUGGUCUGAGAGGACGAUCAGCCACACUGGGACUGAGACACGGCCCAGACUCCUACGGGAGGCAGCAGUGGGGAAUCUUGCGCAAUGCGCGAAAGCGUGACGCAGCAACGCCGCGUGGGGGAAGAAGGCCUUCGGGUUGUAAACCACUUUCAGGAGGGACGAAGGUUCGGCGGUGAAUAGCCGUCCGGACUGACGGUACCUCCACAAGAAGCCCCGGCUAACUACGUG
Molecule: ribosomal RNA, 493 nt
Filed under: uncultured bacterium
Lineage: Bacteria
Description: partial 16S ribosomal RNA
Rfam family: Bacterial small subunit ribosomal RNA
Source: RNAcentral